RNAcentral lists this ribosomal RNA (505 nucleotides) under Streptococcus anginosus. Its description in RNAcentral is "bacterial SSU rRNA". It matches the Rfam family "Bacterial small subunit ribosomal RNA", at positions 280 to 776 of the family's 1533-position model. Lineage: Bacteria; Bacillati; Bacillota; Bacilli; Lactobacillales; Streptococcaceae. The record is from RNAcentral.
UACAUAGCCGACCGGAGAGGGGUGAUCGGCCACNCNGGGACUGAGACACGGCCCAGACUCCUACGGGAGGCANCAGUAGGGAAUNUUCGGCAAUGGGGGGAACCCUGACCGAGCAACGCCGCGUGAGUGAAGAAGGUUUUCGGAUCGUAAAGCUCUGUUGUUAAGGAAGAANGAGUGUGAGAAUGGAAAGUUCAUACUGUGACGGUACUUANCCAGAAAGGNACGGCUAACUACNUGCCAGCAGCCGCGGUAAUAGGUAGGUCCCGAGCGUUGUCCGGAUUUAUUGGGCGUAAAGCGAGCGCAGGCGGUUAGAUAAGUCUGAAGUUNAAGGCAGUGGCUCAACCAUUGUAGGCUUUGGAAACUGUUUAACUUGAGUGCAGAAGGGGAGAGUGGAAUUCCAUGGGUANCGGUGAAAUGCGUAGAUAUAUGGAGGAACACCGGUGGGGAAAGCGGCUCUCUGGUCUGUAACUGACGCUGAGGCUCGAAAGCGGGGGGAGCGAACAGG